RNAcentral lists this transfer RNA (73 nucleotides) under Stereum hirsutum FP-91666 SS1. RNAcentral's name for it is "tRNA-Arg (CCG) (tRNA-Arg-CCG-1-1)". It matches the Rfam family "tRNA". From Rfam's summary of the family: Transfer RNA (tRNA) molecules are approximately 80 nucleotides in length. The record is from RNAcentral. Lineage: Eukaryota; Fungi; Basidiomycota; Agaricomycetes; Russulales; Stereaceae.
GGCCGGCUAGCGUAAUGGUUAACGCGCUAGUUUCCGGAGCUAGAGAUUCUGGGUUCGAGUCCCAGGUUGGUCG